GAAGGCGGGGUGCUGCCUGGGCGUUUGUCCUGAAUUUGUAACUCCUUCUCAGCUAGUUGUUUUAUUUGUCUCUCACAGUCUCACAGCUGGCACAGCUGUCUUCCCCAUCUGGAACUCCUGAAAUUCAGGCACUGUGUUUUGCAACAUUGCAAGGACCUGACUGCCAUGUACCCAUCAGUUAUAUUAAGGCUGUCCUCACAAGCAUGCUGUGUGUUCUUGCAUUAUUCUAAGGAGCUCAUGAAGGCUGCCCUGAGCAUCCCUGGCUUUGGGCUGGGCUUCCUGCUUUGCAGGAUUUAUACGUUGUUCAUUUAGCACAAAACACGAUGAAGCACAAAAAAAAAAAAAGUCCUGUGAGGAUUGACAUGGAGUGUGGAAAAAGAUCUAACCAAAAAGGCGUAGGUCAAAUUCUGGGCCUUGGCCGGGCCCCUUUAAUUGCUGUCAGGUACCAGUGCCAGUUGACCUACUAAGCCCCUUGCCCCUUGCACUGUGGAGGGAUAAGAGCGGUGAAGCCCAGUAAUAGUUUAACUAUGAGAUUAACUCCCUGCCAGUUCCACAACAGAGGACGAAAGGUGCUGACUCCAGGCGCUUCCACACGCCAGCCCACGCUCUCCCGCCACCCCUCACGCUGCUGGCCUGCCUUCCCCACCGCCUGAAACUGCAGCCUGACCCUCGGCAAGGACGGGAAACCUGAGCCCGCUGUGACUCUACAGACAGGUUUCUGGCAGAGCUUAUGUGGUGCUUGCUCCCUAAAGGAGGGCCAGAGGAGGAGCAAGAGCCAUCUUGCUCUCGAUGCUUUAGACACCUCUCAAUUUCCCUAUGCCUGUAAGGUCCCACUGCUCCCCACAACCACACUCCACGGUAGGAAGAGAUGCAGGGAGGGCCUGGAGAGGCCUAGGCACUCUGGUGCACGCCCUUCAUGUUCCCGAGUCCUCUGAGAAGCUUGGUCUCUCAUACCUUAAAGUCUACGGGGGUUUGGCCAUUCCUCUCAACACGUGCAGGACCAGGCCCCCAGACCAGCCCAAAGCCCCCAGACAUCAAAGAGAAUCUUUCUGCAGGCUUCAUUGUGGCAACGGAAGCCAGUUUUGCACGUGGCAAGGCAGAAGGCAGCUAAACUGCAGCUUAAUUAGGAUGACCUGCCACAAAGGUUCUGUUUAAAAGAAGAGACUAUCAAGCAUUUUACCUAAAAAUGCACAGAUUUCUACAGUGAACUCCAACCUUCCCUCCGGUAUUAUGAACCUGAUCACAGGCACAUCCUGUCCGGGCCUGAGGAGCAGACAGACAGACAGACCUGCGUCAGAAAGUGGAACUGACUGAUCUGACUCGCCCGCGCCGAGCUGAGGAUGAGUGAAACCAUGCACCGUGCAGACAGUGUGGAAAGCAAGCGGAGGUGAUAAGGAGCGGGGGUUUUCGUUGUUGUUGUUGUUCUUGAUGCCGUGUGGGAGAGGAAAACGAUAUUGGUGAGGAUUGUAAACAGCAAUAGUUGCCACCAAAUUGUGGUAAUGUACGGCCCUGAAUUUUCAGCCACCAUUGGGCACCAAGUGCCUGUCACCUAAGUGCUUGCAUUGAGGAAAGCUUGAUUUUCCAACAAGCACCCAGUGCUCCAAAAUAACCGGCAUCACCUGUGAACAUGAGCUCUGAUCCUUAUCUGCUGGCCAUGUGCUGUGAGAGCCGUUUCCACCUGAGAAGCACUUUCCUUCCAUUGCCUCACAGAGCCACGUUUCCUCUCUCAGUCAUUCACACCAGGGCUGUGUGGGGCCAAGGUAACCCAGGACAGCAGCGAAGGGGGGACAGGCAUGGGGACAACCCUUCCCAGCACGCAGAUCAUUUGCAGAUCCUUGCGGCGUGGUGGGGUUGACCAACACCUCGGUACAGGGCGUGUGUGUGCGUGUGAUGUGGUUGCGGAGCGCACGGUCACCGGUGUUCAGCUGCCUACCCGUGUUCUGCGAGUGGCCUUGCGUUAGUUUCAGGCGUAAUAACAUCAUGAUAUCAUAAUAAUAUAUCACACUGAUGACACCAGCCCAUGGAGCAAGCCACAGCGAUCUGAUCUCAUUCUGCAAACGUUGAGAUGAGCAUUACUGCUUCUCAGGACAAGUGGGUGGCAGGUAGAUGGAGCUGGCUCUGCCUACAUUGCCAGCCCUGGGUGGGAACGUGACCUCCUGGGUUAUGCUCGACUCCUCAGCUCCUGAUCUGCCUCAGCUGCGGCCGGCUGGGUUGCACCAUGCAGCGAGGUGUCCUCAAGUAAACACUCCCCUCAGAGUCAACAGGCUUGAAUGAGAGCAAAUGAGAUAAUGCCUCAGGAGAGAAACAGAAGUGAAGUUACUCUCAGUGAAGACUCAGUGUGUUACCAGUGAUUUCAAUAAAUUCCGUCAAAGGAACAGCAGAGUAACCUUUAAAAGAAAAAAGAAUAAAGUAGAAAAACAAACGAGCUGUGACCAUUUUUUUUUAAAGUGGUACCAUGGUCUUAGGUUUCACUUCCCAAAUGGGAAACAGAACAGAGAAGUGAAUCCCCUUGAAAUAAAAGUGAAGUUAAUAACGGGACGCCUUUAGCUGCUCGCCACAUCCUGUGUACGCUGAUCGCUCUGUUUAUAGCUGGCAGGAGCCCUUCUAGACACUUCUCUACCAAUUUAACUCUUUGCUGAGCCCAGCUGCACUUCAUCAGCAGCCAGGAAAAGUCCUCCCUGCCAGAGCCACGCUGCCGUCAGCACGGUCCCACACCCUCCCUGCCUGCACACGGGCACGCGGCUGCCAGCACGGCGCCGUCCCUCGCGUAGGCCAGGGUGCUCAGCCGCGGCCAUGCGCACGGGUGGCUGUGGUAACCCCUCGGCAUCCUGCUCACGUGUCCAAUGGCGCUUGUUCAUGCGCACACAUGCUCUUCAUAGGCUAGUGCUUUCUCCUGUACUGAAGAGAGAUGGAUAAUCAAGCACUGCACCAACGCGCUUGGCAAGCUGUAUGCAGGGCAGCUGUGAGGCAGACUUAUCCCACUGCACUGUCACUGCAACAGCUCUUCUUCCUGGGAUGAGCUUUGUGGCUGGGGGUUCAACUGCUUCAGGAAACGUGGCUUAAACUGGCAUAUUUGUUCACAUGCACAGCUCUUUUUAUUGGCCUGGUUUAUUCUGGACUCUGCUUUUGGUGCACUGCUGGCUCUUGCUGUUGCUUCUUGUU
This is a long non-coding RNA of Anas platyrhynchos (mallard), 3162 nucleotides long. RefSeq lists it as uncharacterized. The record is from RefSeq and is a predicted model, not a curated record. Lineage: Eukaryota; Metazoa; Chordata; Aves; Anseriformes; Anatidae.